Molecule: non-coding RNA, 21461 nt
Organism: Phalacrocorax carbo (great cormorant)
Lineage: Eukaryota; Metazoa; Chordata; Aves; Suliformes; Phalacrocoracidae
Source: RefSeq, a predicted model, not a curated record
AGCCCAGCCCAGCCCUCCGCGCUGCCGGCGCCGAGGGGCGGAGGGGAGGAGGGGCGCGGCCCGGCACCGCCCCCCGCGCCGCCCGGCGCGGCGCGGCGCGGCCGAGGGGGUGGGAACGGAGGGUUUCGCCGGGCGGAGGAGCGCGGUGCGGGCGGCGAGGCGAGGCGGCGGGGUGCCGGUCCCGACCGGCCCGCGGCAGGCGGGCAGGGGCGUACGGUGGGCCCGGGGUCUGCUGCGUGGCCGGCGGGAGGGGAGAGCGAGCCGGCUCGGAUCCGCCGGGGGAAGGGGCGCGGCGGAGCUGGGCGGUUCGUGCGCCCCCGCUGCGGCACGGCCGGCCGCCCUCAGCCCCCCACCCCGGCCCGCCGCCCCGCCCGGUGCCUCUGCCCGCAGCACCGAGAGCGGCCGGGGCGGCGGUGAGGGUGAGUACCGGCUGCGCGCCCUGCCGCCGUCUCCCACCGCUCCUCAGGGUGGGGAAACUCGGACCCGGCUCUUACAUCCAAGAAACUGCGCUGUUCUCUCUCUGCUAUCUUGCAAGAUUCAUCAAGCAGAUUCAUAGCUUUAGUUUGCUGGAGCAGAGCCUUCUCCUGAAAAACACCCCUGAGGGGCCUGCUCCACUGGUCCAGCAUGCGGCUGAGUCUCUGUCCAGGUUCCGCUCCCCCAAGUCUGUCUCUUGGGAGGUAGCGUAAGCUCAGCUGGUUGAUUUGUGUUUUAUUUCUAUGCAUUUCUUGUCUUCUGUGUAACUCAGCAGCUGCAAGUAUCCUUCAGGAAGGUGCUGUUGGCGACACUGCAGGUAGUUGGCCGUACUCUGCUGCCCUGCUUGCCUCCGUGAACUGAACCAAUGUCCCGUCAAUGUAGUAAGAUGAUUUCUGUGCCAAAUCGCUGGUCUUAUAUUGAGCUGGUGGGCUCCUGAUCAUAUGCGCUAGCAUUGUUAUGUUUUAUUUCUUAAUGGUUUUGUAAGUGGUGAUUUCAGGUUUUAUUCUUCCAGGUUCCGCCAAGUUUCUGUUGAAAUAAUUUAGUUUCCAUGUUCCUUUAUAAGAGGUUUGGGUCUGAAACCGGUAUUUUGCUGCAUCGAUAUUUGGCCCUGGGCAGGAUCACUGCUUGGAAGACAGUCCUACUACAAGUUACACACGUGUUGCCAUGUUUUAGUGCAGUGGCUCAAUCUUGAAAUUUGGGGAGUGGGAUGGUCGCCUUCCAUCUGAGCAGGGUGGUUUUGCCUUACUUGAUGUCUGUUGUGAUUCUCUGGGGAGUGGAGACAGGUGGGGUGCGAAGUGGCUGUCCAUGUAAUUAACUUUGAAACUUUAAUUCAAGAAGUUAGGUCUUAUACCUGAAUAUGCCAAGGUAUACUGUACAAUAACUGAAUUUGCCUUUUCCUGAGGUUAUGUCCCCCAGGAAGAAUAUUCACCAGGUAUUUUUAAUGAAUAUCCCUACAGCAUACUUCAGGGUGUUCUUAGUCCUUUUAAGAUCUAGUUCAGCUCUCAUGGGAUUGACUGUUGUUUAGAUACUAAUUGAGAUUGCUUAGAUUACUAUGUACUUACAAAAGAUCUUAUUUGCAUAUUUUAGCUUAAUUCCAUAAGUAUGUUCUCUAUUUUAUUUUCACAGUGCCUUUCCCCCUCUUGCCUGGAGGUAUCUCAUCUUCUUGCAUGCACCCUUCCAUGCAUUUGUCCAUCCCUUCCACCCGAGAACCAAGCAUGCAUUUCCGAGCCCUCACAACCUGAUGUCCAGCCCUGUUUCAUGGGAGGCAGAGACCCAGCGGUCGCUGCUAGCUAAGAGCUGGGCCGAGGCUACUUUAGCAGCCGCCGAAGAGGUGUGCGAGGCAUGACGUAGCAGUCCCCAGGAUUCCAGAGCCUUGCCAGUUGAAUGUGUGAUUGGACCCUUUGGAGAUAACGUUAACCAGCAUUUAUGAGUAGACAGGAAGGGCAGGUGACCAUCAACAGAAUGCAGCUUGACUUCUUUGUUAAAAUUAAACUUUACAGAGCCAAAGCUGACUCGAUGCAUCAUUUGUCACCAGCGUUACCACUGCUCACGUCAUUUUGCGGUGCUGCUCUGGUGACUUCCUCUCCAGACCAUAUUGGAUUUCCUGUGGCAGUCUUUCUCUUUACCACAAGUGCUUUCGGAAGAGCAGAGGGUAAAACUGAUUUAGAAGUGUUAGGCGUUAGCAGAUUCACUUCUGCUGAUUAAAAGCCAAGAAGCAAGGAGCAGUCUGUCUCGUAACCUCGUGGUGAUGACUGGAAAACGGGCUUUGCAGGGUCCUUCCACAGCCACUUAAGGGACUUGGCUUAAAAACAGGGAAGCCACCAAAGGCUGCAGUGAGUGUUAACUAGGAGUGAAUUGUAAAAAUGACAUAUUAAUGAGCUGAAAACUUGAAGCUAGCUUUAAAAAUAUGGUGAUACAAAAUGCAACAAUCCUUAGAGUAAGACCACAGUACAAAGUUUUAUUGCAUAGCUACAAAAAGUUGAAAAAGUUCAUGCCCAGCACUAGCAUAGCUAUGGUUCUGGUACAAAGAGCCCUGUACAACAGCACUAGAAACCAUCCAGAAAGUUCUGGAAAAAAGAUGAUUUUCUGUUGUAUCUUUCAUCAUUUGGAAAAGAGGUUUAACUCCACGUGUGGAUGAGAGUUUCAUCCUGAUAGAGAAGGUUUUACCAGUAUAGAUAGCUCAGCAAAACUUUUGUCUUUCUAAGGAUUAAUUAGGUAAGCAGUUAAGAAGAAUUUCCCUUCCUUAUCCUUUAUUUAACCAUAGUCAUAGGACCUUGCUCAGUUUUUGGAUUUUUAAGGUAAAUUCUUGAUCUUACUGGUGGCCAACAAAAAAUAAACCUUAAUCCUAGAAAUUAAAGUAUAUUAUUUGUAAAUUCUUACUUGGACAGGUAGUCUCUGGUUCAUAAUGGUUCAUAUGAGUAAGCUGUGCAGAACUAGUCUGAUGCGACCCAGCUUUCUGUGUAUUCAGGUUUAUCAGUCAGGUUCCUCUGUGUAUUUAGAUCUUGCAGUAUUUUGGUUUGCUUUAAAUAAAGCAAACAGAACCCACAUAGGUAGCCCUCUGUUAACUUUUCAAUUAUGAAACAAGGGUAUGUACUGGGAAAUUCAGUGAGUUUGUAGAUAGCCUGACACAGUGGAGGGAAUGUGGUAGCAUCUUCAAUCCAAGCUUUUAUUUUUUAUUUUGUCCAAGCUCAGUGGUGGCUCGUUACAUGCCUUUGUUAACUGAUUCUUUCAGUGGGUGAAAGGUCGUAUAAAAGUUAAUCUGAACAGCGAAAGCUAAGACUGAGAAAUCUGGUAAAGGAGUUGGAGAAGCACAAAGUUAGAGGGAGAGAAAGCAGAAAGGUGGAAAAUGGAGCAGAGCAAGCAUGGGCUCUCAACACAGUCAUUGUUGUAUGGAUAUUUGUGCAGUGUGGUUAAACAAGAGUAGCUAAGAGUCUUUUUACUACAUGAAGUCUAUACCUCUGAUCUCUGUGUGGUCUUCACUGACUGCACUGAGAAAUGGUGUUAGACGAAAAAGAACAACAUUUAACUGUUCCCGGGCUUCAUCUGGGUUAUUGGAUUGGGUUUUUUUUCUGUCAAAGUUAACUGGUAUAUAAUUUCACCUUUUUAAUAGCAUUUUUGCACUGUGCUAGCAUACAUUAAGGGAAAAAACCCAAACUUUUUCUAACGUCCUAUCACGUUGUGGGUGCACUGCAGUAACACCAGAACUCUCCUGCUGAAUGUGACCACAAGGUCAGCAGCAUCUUCCUGGCAGCCCACAGAUGUGUCAUAGCCGCUGUCCAGUUUUUGGCCGCCUAUGUACGGUCAUGCUCUGGUUACUGAACUGACAGGCCUUCAUGUUCUUCUAGCUCACAGUUUCUUUAGGUGAUUGUUUUUGCACCACUUUAUGCCGCUUAUUCAAACGAACACAUGGUUUAGCCAGGGAACUCUGAAGUUUUGUUUGGUACAUGAUUUCCUUCAUUAAGCUUUCUUUCAUUGACAGUAUCUGUGUGUCUGUCUGGAUGAUAUUUCAUCCCCUGAUCACAAAUAAUUUUAUGGUUUAUGUUUGUUAUUCGUUAAAAGUCCAAAGGAUUUUUGGAUCACAGAUACACAAAUUUAUCUGCCAUAUAUAAUUUCUACCCAAAACAUUAACUGUCUGCAAAAGCAUUUAAUAACAAUUCUGAAAUAUAAAAAUCCAUAUUUUCCCAGAUAAAUGAUACAGUUCCAACCCUAAUGCUUUGUAAAAUUACAAAUAUAUGUUAUUUUUUGAAUGAAGCAGAAAUGGCUAAAUGUUUUUCUUUUCUUUGCAAUUAUUUUUUUAAUUUAGUACCAAAUUUCUCUCUAGCCACAAACUACUCUAUUCUAGCUAUGAAUAACAGUCAACCUGCAUGCUGUAAGCUCACCAAGAGCCAGUAUAUGUAUAUUUAAUAUUUAGAAUAUUUUUGUGUGAAGUUUGUAUAGUUGAAGUACUACUUAGUUUCAACAUCCAGAGAAUUAUUUCUGCCAUAGGUGUAGUGCUCUUCUUUCAAUUACAUCUAGACAAAUAAAUAUAAUAUUUUUGAGAAACAAAGUAUAUGAAAAUUAUUCUGCUCAAAUUUGUCUACAUAAUCACAAAAGAAGAUCACAGAAAAGUUUUAAAAGGCAUGAAUUACGUGCUUAGAAAAGGUGUACCCAGUCUGAAAGUGUGAUACUGCUGAACUGUAGAGCAGCCACUGUGGUAUGGAUUAAAGGAAUCAUUAAGAAACUAAAAAUUGGAGGAACAGGGAAAAGCAGAACUGAGCAAAGCGGAAAACAGCCUAAAAAUGGUGUGGUUUCAUUUAGAACAUUUUCUCUUCUUUUUAAAUACCUCACUGAAGGAAUCGAAUAAUACCCUAUAUUGACCAAACUAUUAAUUAUGAAAAGUAAACAUGCUGAGAACAUUAUGGGGAAGAAACUUUGCAGAGGACUGUGGAGCUGAGGCAGGUCUCCUUUAGCAUUGCAGUGAGCUGGCAUCCGUGGAGAGCUGGUAGAUGGCUUCAGGAGGUCAUGGUUUUGAUUGUAUACUGAUCCUGUCGAUGGAUUGUGCCCCCCAGCAUCACUGGUUUAAUGUCAUCUACAUAGUAGGUGCUGAUGGAGGCAAGCGUCUGAAUCUCAGAUUAUAUGCUGUUUUGAAGCAGGUGCUGGGUUUAUAUUAUCAGUCUUUACAGCAAUUGGGAGUGGACUUGUGGUGGUGUUACUAUGGGGAAGAAGAAUCCAGUCAUCUGCUGUGUGACCCUCCAUGCUCACCUGCCUGUAUUCUUGGCAUCCUUAUCCAGCAAUGCAGCUUGUACCACAUCAUCAGGUCACCCUUCGAGCGUCCACAAUUGCUCACGCCUGCUUUUUGGCCAUAUGUGUUUCUAACAAUAUAUAUUCCCAGUGGAUGCUUAAGUUAUGUGAAGACUUUCAUUGGUAAAAUUCAUCUAAUAGAGCUUGUCUGUAUUCUGGAUGAAGAUAAAGGCCAAAUUGGCAAAGUGACUUGAAGAUUUGUAACUUGGGUGUAUUAUUUUUAUCUAGGAGAGUGAAAGGAUUCCUCCUAUUUCAGUUUUCUUUGAAACUCAAAUGUAAAGUGCAGAAUGAGGACCAUUUUUCUUAAAUGAAAAUACAUUACUUCAGUGCAUUAAAAAAAAAAAAAAGUCUAACAUGUUAGCGCUUUGGCUGAACAAUCAGAGUAAGUGUCCUUUGCUAUACAAACCUUGUCCUCAUGAUUAGGUUAGAAGAGCGUGCGUAAGGCAGUUGUGACAAACAGUGUGGUUUUGGUUACAGAGCUAGAAACAGGUGCAGUUCUAGCAGUUGCCAUUGCAAAAAGAAAAAAAUGCAGAAAAACAGAGCAAGGGAACAUCACCACCCACUAGACUUUUUUGUGUGUUUGUUUUCAUUUUCAUAGACACCCAUUUUCUUGUGUUACCAUUAGUAGAUGUCUGUGGAGAAGAUCAUGGUAAACUGCUGGCGGGUGGUCAAACCGUGUGUUAAACAGUAAGGGCAUCAGCCUUUCAAAACCAUCAAUAACCUGUUUUUAGAUACGGGUUUGUGGAGUGAAUUGGAAUAUGUGCUCUUUUAUUGGAAGGAAAUUGAACUUUUGUACUGAAAUAGAACAGCUUGUAGGCAGCAUUUAGGCAAAGGUAUACUUGUUUCUCAAAACCUACUGUUGGCAUGGAGCUGGGGGUGGUCAUCAGCCAAGUACUGGCUGCAGCAGAGGAAAUGGCACUUCUCCUCAACGCCGGAUUAUACACUUUUCCGCUUCACUCGUUUAUAACUCCGUUCUCUUGGAUGCAGCUGUUUCUCCUUCUUGUUUACAUAUUUUUCUGUAGUUCCAAUGACUAUUUUCCUUUAAGAGUAGUUUGUGGUGAAAAAUAAGAUUGCGCUUCACUCCACACUUAAGGCAUUGUAACUGCACUGGCUUUGGUGGUAGCUUUGGUUAAUCAGUAGUGUGAGAGGAUAAUCAUCCCUGUCAAAUGAUUGGUAAAGACUAAGCAAAAAGAAAACCCCAACUUUAUAAGAAAAGGAUUGUUUUUAUUUUAAAUAACUGAAUAUUUUUGCUUCUAUCUGUGCUAUUUUAGAAGCUAUAUGCUGCAACAGGAAAAGAAAUACCACAAAAGGAGUUAAGUUCAUAGCCAUAGUACAACCACGAUCACCUUACAGCAUGCAAAAUAGUACUUUGACUUUAGCAAAGAUCAGUUGAGCUGAUCUGCCCCCUCUACUGCAGUUCCCUUCUCUUUCCUUCCUCAUCCACUUCCCCUCCCUGAUGGCCCUUCCCUGUGAUCUGUCCUUCUUUCAGAGUCGCAGCCUGGUGUGUACAAACAUCUUCUGAAGUAUGUGGAAAAAAUACUGAUUGAUUGAUUUCCAGGUAGUUGUAAGGGAGUUUUUUCUGAAGGGUGUGAAAAUAAAUAAAUAAAUGUCCCAGGUAGCUUUCCAAAUACAAAUAAAAUAUGGUUAAACUUUAUCCGCUCUUCAGGUAUUUUCAGUAUUAAUCAGGAAUACCUUUUUUUGCCACAGUGCAACUACUAUUAAAUACCGCUACAGUAAGUUCCUUUCCAGAAUUAAACCAGGAAUCUUAUUUACACAUUGCUUCAGGGAUGGCAGCUGGUGUCGUAAAGUAUUUUCUGCUGAAAGAAAAGAGAAUGUAGCUGGGGCACAGAUCCAAAAAAAUGGAAUUCAAGUGCUUAAAUCCAAAGUUUCAGUUCUGAAGUCAUCCUGAAACCGGCUUUGUUUCUGGCUAAUGUUUAGGUGACCAGACCCCGUGCGGGCACAGAGCCUGGUGUGAGAGCUGCAGGCAGCUGCUGUGGGGCAGGCACUGAGGCUCUGACAGGUAGAGGUGCAGGAUACCUGCCCAGCAGCACUGACAGUGGAGGCAGCUCUCCUCCAGCUUCAUUUCUUGGAGAGUGACCUGGAGGCUGCUCUUUGGGAGUGACUUGCAAGCACCAGUGCCAGGGUCCCCCUGUAAAAUGAAGGGGCGUCUCGUUCUGGGGGGAGUCCGGGUGCCAUUGCCCUUUCCAUGCAACCCUUUGAGAGCACUUAGCAAGAAAUGGGAAGCCCAGGAUUCAAAUCCUUUCUUUUCCUGAGAAGUCACAAAUUUUCCACUUCUCUUGAGAGUGCUCUAGCUCCCGGCAGCUGGCUUUUGGGAGGAGUGUGCCGCCUUCCGUCCCUCCCCGCCUGCGCCCGGCUCCCUGGAUCCAAAAAGGAAGAGUAGUGCAAAACAUUGUGGUGUGAUCUGAUCACAGAGCACUGUCGAGGAGAGGAGUGCUGGGUAUAUGCGUAGCUCCACAGGCUGGCACUCCUCUCGCUGUUGCAGGUGUGUAUUUCAAGCACUUUAUCCCUAUCCAGGUAGUGCCGUGUUCUCUGUUGGGUACAAGAUACAGCAGCUUUACAAUCAAGCCUUUGUACACUGUAAGAGUAAUGCCAACAGGCUUCUCGAUGUCUGUGUGUGACAGCAUUGGGAUGCUAGGCUUGCUGCUUCUCAAUAGUUUUGUGAGGAUGUUUGCUAUUUUUGGACUGCAAAUCUUUAAGUAACUUCCAAGACCCUGGCACUAGAUGGAGCUUUAAUCUACUUGCACUUAGAAGUCUAUUAAGUUUAACCACAAAUUAAAAAAAUAGGGAAGAAUAGAUGAAGAUAUGUGUGCCUGCUGCUACAUUUACAGUUCCCUUUUUCCCUUUUGUUAGCUGAGUGUUGUAAAUUAUAAUUUAAAUUUAAUUUAAAUGAAAAUUAAAAUAUUGCAGUAGAAUCUCCUCGAUCUAGUAGGUGCUUUAUAAUCACUCUUAGUAGCACCCCUUAAUGUACGUUCAGGCUCAUGGGAGAAGUUGCUGUCAGAUAUGCUGAAAAUGUGCUGCAUAUUAAAGCUAAUACCUGGGCUGUGCUGAAUAGAGGUGAUGCCAUUUUCUGAACAAAGUUCUGUGUAUAUUUCAGGAUGGGGUGGAGGUGACCAAGCCUUCUGUUUGCUCUGCUCAUUCAGUAAUGCAUUUGCAUUUUUACUUCAUGCUACCAAAGGCAACAGUUCAGAAUCACCUGUAUCAGUCACUUCAUUUUUCCUCCAUGUGCUACCCUUGAAAAUACUGAACAAAUAGAAACAAAUAAAAACCAGCUUUGAAACUGUAGUGUUUAAGACUUUUCAUUUAGCAAGCACCGUGUCUCACGGGCUGCACGGCACAUAUCAGAAAUUUAAGACUAGCUCUGCCUUCCACAGAAAUAACUGGAAGUAGGUUUAAUUUUGUUCUUGGGUGCCUGUGUUCUUAUUAGCAAGAGACUGAUUUGGUCAAAACCAUUGUUAGACACUGAAGUAGCAAAUACGUAAUUAGUUCCUAUUCACAGCCCCUCUGCUGUUUUAUUAAAUGGUUUAAUGUAGUAAACCAGGAGAUGCAUACUUGGGAAAAAAAAUCACAAGGCAUGCUGUUCUCAGAGCACUGGAGGUGAUAAAAAAAGAUGAUUGCACAUUUCAUCUCACUCCCAUCGUCUUCUCAAGGUCUAAUCCUUCAGUGUCUUUCAUGUUUUAUCAGCCUGACUAAGGGACUGCACAUACCACAGAAUGAAAAACCUCUGUAGAACAGUUUGCAUGAAUGCUGUAUUGCCAAUAUGAGCAAAAGCUCAUAUUUCUGGAAGAUUUCUACUAUACUACAAAACUGUUAAGGAACCAUAUUGUAUCUGGAAUAGUACAUGCAGUGUUGUAGACGACAGGGUUUGCAUAUGGCAAUCUGCUUAUAGUAUUGGCUGUACGGAGUAGGGAAGCGGCACAAGCAGCUUUCAGAAAAAGGGUCUGUUGGAGAAAGUAAUUUUAGAAGAGUUUCAUAGUUGACCUGGCAAAAUUUUAAUUGCUACUUGUGACCAGGUUAAGUGUAUUCAAAGUCAUAAUUUCCAUAUGAAUCAAUGGAAGUUUGGUUCUUAAGAAUCUUUUAAGAAUUUGUUGUCACCAGUUGCAUUCAGACUGUAAAAUUUCGGUAGUCUGGUUUCAAGGGAAGUAGUUUGCUACCUGUUGAAGACAGAAGUAAGUAAUAGGAAUGAAUACACUGGUACCCAAUUCUUCAAAUGCAUCUGGAGAGCAAUGAGAGGUUAUAAUUCCUGGUGGCAUCACUGAUACAGGGCAUUAAAAGGUUAAAUGUGAUUAUUUCUUUACACUUUCAUUUUACAAAAGUAGCUUGUAAAAGUACUGAGGGUCAAAGCGUGCUGGAGCAUUCUGUUACAUUUGGCAGUUCCUCUGCUGGUGUGUACACAGACACCGUUUCAUUAAAUGGGUGGAUGUAUCUGGUAAGCUGUCCUUUGGCACCACCAUCAUUAUACAGAAAGCAUAUCUACAGAAAUAAGUGUCAUAAAAUCUGCACAGUGCAUAAAUGAACUUUUAUUUCUUUUUUUAGAUGUUCUUUAUCUCAUUGUCCCAUAUACCAAUUAAUGUGGCUGGACAACUAUUCCUGUUUUCUUGGAGGUGGAAAAGAAGAUGCAGACGCUACAUUUUCAAAGAUGGGUGUAGGAUUUACCCGCAAAGCUUCCUCUGACCUGAAGACCUGGAAAAGUUUCCCCUUUGUAAAUGUGGGGGUUAGAUUGUAAAUUAGAUGUGUAUGUUCAGAUAAAUAACUGUAACCCCUGAAGUCUGGAUAACAUCUUGGCAAGUAAACUAAGCAGGUUCAGGGAAUGCAGAACAAAGGAAUGUGUGGUGACUAAGGACUGAUUAGUUUAUACAGAAUAUGACAGCAAGACCAUAUUUAUAUAGAUGUAUGUUGUCCACUGCUUUGCUGUCUACAUUUCAGUACUGCCCAAGGCGUGGUUUAUGCCCUUGCUUUAAGAAAUUCUUGAGAAGCACGCUCUUGUUUACAUGGCUGACUUUUUUAGUGUCCCCUUUAAAAGUGGAUGUACAAAACUGCAGACACAACUCCGGUGUUGUUCAUGCCAAUGCCACAAGCAGAGCUAAAAUCACCUCCUUGUUCCUUCUUACUACCUUGCACCUGCUCAAGCACAAGCAGUUGCUGGAGAGGGAGAGUGGUAGGUCAAACUGAGACUUAACACAGACGGGUCCACCAUGCUUGGAAGAAUUAGGCUACACUAUUUCUUCUUUAUCCAUAUGUAUCCUUUUGUGCAAGAGACUAAAUCUACAGUUAUGAAUAUUUGAAAUGUAAAAGUUUAUUGGGGAAGAAAUCCAUCUUUUUUUCUGUAGCAUGCUGGGGAAAUAUUCCUGUGUAAUUAAUGAUGUUCUCUUUAGGGUUUUUCACCUUUAAAGACUAGUUUGCACUACUGAAUGUGCAAUGUUGGAAAUUCAAACUGGUCACAGAGAGAAAUGAAAAUAAAUCACUUAACUACUCAGAAUGAUCCUUACUACUUGCAGGGAUCAGGCUAAUGAAAUCAAGCAAGGAAGCAGCAAACAUGCUCUUACCUCUGUUGAUGUAAACCCAAAAUAAUACUACAGCCUUGAAUGGAGGUCAUGUGCCACUUGUGCUUGGGUUGGUUUCCAGGAUAGCUGGUGUGAGUCAGUCUGCCAGAAGUAUGGAAAGCCCCAUGUUGUGGAUAACUCCCAGCCUGACCUUUUGUACGGAGCCAAUUACCAACAGCUGGGAAAGGUCUCAUCAUCAAAGCUUUCUCCGUGAUGUGGAGGUGGGCGCAGUCUACCAUCCAGCCAGCAGCCCAGGGAUGCCUGCGGACCCACCUUAGUGAGCACCAAUAGGGAGCCUUCCAUGCCAUGGUGGAGUCCAGAGAUGUAGGAACCCCCUUCUUGGAGGCUGCAGAAGCAAGGUCUCAAAAGCUGAACUGCUCUAAAUUCACAUGCCAAUGCAGAACCUAUUUUUCCUGACUCCGUGCCCUGCACUCAGCUAUCAGUCUUGCCUGUGAUGCUGUAAAGCAGAUAUUGCUGUGGAAGAGCCUGGCUGAUGAGAAACACAUAAUUCCUGUUCACCUGCUUGAGCAUCAAGUGGUGUCAACUGGGAUAACUGGAGAAGCCCAUCUCUUUCCCUUGUCCUCUGCUAUCAGUUAAAAGAUACCUGACAAGACUGCCUUCUCUUUCCCAUAUGAGUUGCUGCAAAGUCUGUUCAACCUCUGCUGCUGUUAAUGAUGAGCAUGGAUGUAAAGGUCAGCGAAGUGCUGGCCCUAUGGGCCUGAAACAUGACUCUGACAAAAGAAAAUGCUGUCAGAUUCACAAGGCAAACAGACUUUUCUGGCGGAACUGCCAUCACCUUGCUGGGAGACUGAAGUGGUGAGAUGCAGACCUGUGGGUGCCUUGCCAGGGAUUUGUUAGAAGGAAACCUAAGCAAUGAAGAAAGUAAGGAAAUCUCACCAGGAGCAACACCCACGUGCAGGUACCAAAUGCCUGCAGGUACGUGAAUUCAGCUGAUGCAAAGAAGCUGAAUUUAAAAUGCACUACAGAACAAAACAGGGCCAGCUGGAGGAUUUCCUGUAAGAGAAAGGAAAAGCCUGGGGAGGCAGCAGGCAGAAACACUUUGCUGUGACGCAUUCUUCCUGGCUUUUUCAGGAUUACGAACCUUUCUGCAGCAAGAUCUGAAACAGCCAGAUUGCGGCUUAGAUCAAAGUCCCUAGGAUUCACCUGUGAUUUCCAGUUUUGCUGUUUUCUGGUUGGAGUAUUUUUUAUAGUCUUCAUUGUAAGAAAACCCACACAUGAAGAGAGAAGUAAAUGGAAAACAAAUUAUAGGCAUGGCCAUUAAUUCUUCUGGGGAAAGGAUGCCCGACUUCUUCAAGUGUCCAGACCUGCUGCAGAAUAUGUGAGAUCUCCAUCUAGUGCAUGUUAUGAAAUAUUUCAUUCCGAACACAAGUACAAGAUAAAUGUGGUUGGAGUGGAUCUUGACUUGCAUCAAGAAAUCAAAGCAGGCAUGAAGGGAAGAGAGUACGGUAUGUCAAACAGCAUUUUUUUAACUGUGCAGAAAGUACUGAUUAAAAGAUGCUGGUUUUGCACUUCAGUAGAGAAAACUGUGGGUAUGUGGAUGUGAUGGACUGUUAUAAUAUUAGAAAUAAUUAGAAUUAACACACUUUUUCUUACUUCUUAAAGAACAUGUAUUUCUGUGGAAUGGUACAAGUGCACGGUGAUGCUGUGAGCGACACUGAGCAGUAUGCGGUGCACGGCUGGGUGGUUUCUUCUGCCCACGGCUUGUAGCCGUACCCAAGCAGGGCACUGUUCACAGCUGGCAAGCGUGCUGCAUCAUGUGUUACUGUCACUCAGGGGACGCUCUGUCUCACACAAACCUAGCUCAGCCAGGGUUUUCCCAUCCCACUCACGACAGGAGAGGGCUGGUGAUUCUUGCCGCAGCUGCAAAAGGGCGCUGUGCAGCCUGCGAACGUCCGUUUUGCCUGUGCUCCCUGCCAGAGCCAGGCGGCAAAAGCGAGGGGAGAAGGGAAGCUGGCUGCAGCACUGUGUGGCAAGCCGAACAUCAGUGACAAAUGAGGAGGGUCCAGUUUAGCGAGCGUUCCUUGACCUGCCCGUCUACUACCAACAGCCAAAUAUCGUCAGCACUUCUUCAUCCCAGGAGCACCCGGUCCCUUUCCUAUUGACAAAAAUACCCUGAAAACAUCUCAUUCUGUCUCACACUCUCUCGUCUGCAGCUCCUUUCUGGAGCCCAGCACUUCUAGCUCAUCCACCAUCUCUUUUGGCACCCAAGGAUCUUCCCAGCCCACAGAAACUGCACAGCUUUGUGGCUGUCAGGUUUUGUUCAGCAACAGUGUAUCUUGCUGUGACUAUUGCUGGGGCAAGAUGGGUCGACCUUAUGUUGGUAUCUGUGGCAUUAUGCAAAUUUUUGCAUCUAUGAAAGUUACCCAGUUAAGUUGUGUUCCUUAAAUGUCUCAGGGUUUCUCAGAAAUUGCCUCUGAGCUGAUGCUCACUGCUCUAACCAGCACAUGCCCAGCUUAGCUGCAUGCGCCGCCGAGCAGCCCGGCUGAUGGCUGAAUGCCACGAAUCUUGGUGUUUGAGGAAGACCUUCUCUCAGGAGAAUCAUGCUUUACUGGGUGAGCAGGAAGACCUGUCUCCAUGUCAGCUGUCAGCCAAGGAGCAGCAAAUCAGUAAGUUGAGUAACAAACCUCCAAAACUAGGGUUUUGCUGCUCAAGAGUUCUAGAAGUAUGUGAAACCGAUGCUGCUCAGCCAACUGUGGUGUGGAUUUCACUGUGUAAGUUAGCACUGAUGGCUGAGAAAUGGAAGUCAGCAUAUGUAGCUAAGCCUUUUAAAAGGCUUCAGAGGUAAUCCAUUGAUCUGCUAACGAAUGUCAAGGUUUUUUACCAAACAACCACUUGGGAACUGAAUUUGUGUAAUUAUUGUUUCUGCUCCUUUAUGGUUUGCAAAAUGUUGGGGAUAGCAAAUACUUUCCAGAAGACUGGAAACGUUCUUGAUGUCUGAUGCCUCUACUGGAAAUCUUUGAAAUAGUCUGCAAGAAUGUGGUUAAAGCGAUACAGUCAGCCCCAAGUACUUCAGUUGCCUUCCUGUGAGGAGCUGAUAAUGACAGUUAUUGAAGACACUGUUGGACUGGAUGAACCUCAGACACAUUUUUAUGUCCCUUUGCCUUUGAUGGCAUCUAAAGCCUGAGGCAGUCUGUGUUCUCCAGAAGAGCUUGAUACAGAGGAGUCACUUGCAUCAUCUUGAUUUGUGCAACGUUUUCCUAGUAGAGGUGCAGAUCUUUGUGCAAUAACAACAGCUUGCAAAAAUUACUUUUUGUGGAAGCUCUAGAAAUAAUCAACAGAUCUCAGUAGUCCAGGGCCAUAGGCAGGAGGAGGAAGGAGCAGUGCACUGCUUCACUUUGUCUUGAUUUGCUCUUAUUUAGUACAUGCCCCCAAAGGACAUCCUUGAGCUUUUCCAUGCCUCUGACAGUGAUGCCAAAAGCAACAAAUACCUCUAGCAAGCAUCUGAAUGCCCUGAAAACCAAUGAGUUUUAUCAUCAACCCAGAUCUGGAGCAACUCUAGUGAAUAAAUGCUGUUUUUCUAGAUUUGAUUGGGUGUGUGGCAGAUAACUACUUUGCCCAGUACAGCUGGUAAGAUGCCUUAAUGACUCCGUGCCCAGGAAGAGCAGCAACAAUAGAUUCAGAUGGCAACAAGUAACUUUUGUUCAGCCCUUAGCCACGUAGAUACGUAGCCAACAUUAGUCAUCUGGAGUACACAGAAAGCCUCUGGAAGCUUCACAGGAGAGCUGUUGAUGUUCCUUGUUCUUCAGAGGUCCCUCAGCAGCAUCCCCCAAGAAAAUGCGGUGAAACGAGUAGUUUAAUUGUCGGGAAUAGCAUGUUGCCACCAAAGAGCACAUUUCUUCCAGCCUUGAAUCUGCUUUUUCAUUUUCUCUCUCUAAGCCAACAGUAUCGAUCACCUCGGUGUGCUCUGCCCUUGCUGUGCUGAUGAGUUAACUCCCAUUGUUCCCUGGAAGCACAUGCCGGCGGGGACCUCAUCACUCCGAUCACUAUCAGUCCUUGUUGGACGCUGCAUUCCUUUAGGAUAAAGCUUUAGAAGGGCUUUUGUGGGAUCCAUCAAUGAGGCAAACAGGUCUGACAGCCCCAAGAGCCCAGCAUCACUCAGGCUAACCCAGCCGCACUGUGCUGAGGCAGUGAUUGCUUUCCUUUUUUUCACUAGCUUGUGAGCACAUUUUGCAGCUUCUUUUUUGUUAAUUCUUGCAAAAGCUCUCCUUCCUCUCUGGAGCAGAAUGGCACAGGAGUUCGAGCUAAAUCCUUAAAUGGGGUAUGGAGUUUUUCUGGCAUUUAUGUAUAUUAAAUACAGGUUUAACUCUCUGGCUGGAGUGGACCACCACGCUGGGGUCAGCGAGUCCAAAGCAGUGACUGGUGUGAGUGGGGCAAGGCUUCCCUCCCCAGGAGGACGUGGACCCCCCGUGGCAGCAGACACGGCAGAGGUGGGAGGCUUGCCUGUCACCUUUCCAGAGGAGCAGUGGGGAGGAUCAGGUGGACGGUCCCACGUCCCCCACCCAGAGCCCACAGGGGCUGGAGCUCAUGGGGAAAAGGGUUUGCGCCCAGUUAUGGUCCAGCGUGCAAUGGAAGGUGGAGCUCAGCUCAGCGAGUGCUGCCUGGUGCAGGGUGCAGAGCUCAGCUCUCUUGGGUGACCUGCAGCAGCCAAAGCACUCCCCUGUGCAGCUGUACUGGGGAUCAGCAGUAAAUGCACUUGCAUUACAUUAAAAUUACUUCCUCAAAUAUAUUUGUUUGUAUUCAUGUUUUCCUUACUUAAAUUGAGCCCAUUUCAGCAUAUACGUGCCCAUUCAUGUGCAUCUGUACAUGUAUGUCUGAUCACAACUGCCAGCAUAUUUGGGUCUGUAUAACUGUUAUCCAGAGUCUGGAAAUACUUUGCACAUUCACAGUUAUGUGCAGGAAAGGAAUCCUGUGCAGUGCAAACUCUGCGUAACCUCUGUAGUGUCUGGAGCAACAAUAAAGAAUUUGGGAUUGGGAAUUUACCGCACUGUUAUUUAUUGGAAUUGCAUUCCUAAGAGGACAAACCAGGGCCUUGUUGUGCUAGGUUCUGCAAUUUAAAAAAGCCUUUGCUUUGAUGGAUUUACGGCCUAGGUGGCAUUGUUCUGUUCUUGAUUACAAGUUGUUUUUCAGAAAACAAGUCCAGUUUAUUAAAUUAUCUCCUAAAAUAGAAAUUUUAUGUAGCAAAGUUCCUCUGUGCUUCUGUUCUUAGUAUAAAACAAAUGCAUUGACUUCUGUAGUUGAAGUUGCACAUACUAAAGAAGAACAUAAAGUUUCUUUAAUUUUGUUUUAUAUUCUUUGUGUAGUUUUGUAUGAAAGUUGGGAUUAUGUGACCAUCUUGUGGCUGUAACACUUGUCAGUUCAUUCAAAUGAAUGUCUUAAUUUCUUAUUUAUUAUCACAAAGUUUAUUGGUUUGUUAGUGGCAAUACCCAAAUUUAGAAUGCCUGGAAGGUGAACUCACCUCUAACCCUCGACAUUGGAGAAAUCACACAGAAAGCAGCUGCAGAUCGCCAGGUUCACAAGCGCUCCCGUUUAUUUGUCUGUGUGUUUCAGAGAUUAUUUUUAGCUUGUUUUUCAUAUCAUGAUGCAAAUGUAAAGUAAGCCUUAUUUUGCAAAAGCUUGGAAGUGACUUUGAAGCGUAAGAAUCUGUCGGGAAGUGUAUUUGAAAAUCUCAGCCGUUCUCAGAGCAACAGCGAACAAUACAAAUUUUGUACAGGCAGGUGACUUGUGAAGAUGGGAGUCAUGUUAAGAAAACGUAGAAGGAAAUCAUGCAGUUCUGGGGCGCGCACAUUCACGGGGCCAGUGAGUUAGAGACUUUUACAAAGCCACCUUGUUCUUCUCCCAGUUUCAGUGGGCUUUCAUUUAACAAAGAAAGUAGCUGGAAAAAUUACCCAGAAAUAUUUGACCUUCAAAAAGGCCUCUAAGGCACAAUUACCUGAUGUUCACUGAACUGGUUCAUGUGGUUCCCAAUCUAAAUGACUCUCUAGGUUCACCCAUGUGUGAAAAGGGGUCUGAUUAUGUGGAAGAGGGCAAAUGAGAAAAGAAACUUCAGGAAGGAGAGAAAUACACCAGGAAUUUUACUGGUUAUGUUUGCUUCAAGGGAAGGAAAGGGCAAAUAAAUGUAGCCAACUGGCUUUGAACUUCAAAAGAAAGUAACAUAGGAGAGAUGUGGGGUAUCAGUAGCACUCAAUACACGCUGUUCCAUAGAGUUAGGUAGGGAUUGUAGAAUACAUCGUACUUGGCUUUCUUAGCCACAUAACAAAUCCUUUUUUUUCCUCAAGUACACAAAAAUAUAACAAAAAGCCUGUUUCCCCCCCAUGUCUUUUCUUCUGCCCUUCGUUGCUCUGCACACAGGAGAUCACUUGGAUGUCUGGCCACCAGUGUUCACAUCAGGGUCUGGCCAUGCCCUUUCUGCAGAAUUUCAGCUCUUUCCACUGCAUGCUCCUGACACUGGAACAAAGCAAGCGAGUUAUCUAGGGCUGCAAUCUCCAUUAGGCUUUAGGGAAAAUACUUUUUUAAGGAAAUAAAUUCCAUGGUUGACACAAAAGUGCCUCUACCAUGCACUCUUUUCAGUGGAAGGUAUAGCCAGGUGCACGUAAAAGUAUGACUUUAAUAGUUCAGUAUUGGCAGAGACACAAAGCAGCAUUUUGUGUGCUGCGCCUCUGCUCUGAACUGCCAGCAGAAUUGCAUGGGUGCGCAGAGAGGCAGACCCUCAUACGGUGUGAAAACAGCAACACCUGAAAACUUGAAGACUUCUUGAAACUAGGGAAUUGGAUUUCCAUCUUUGAUGAGAGAGCACAGUGUGCAAUGGGAAGUGCGAUUGUACGGAAGCAAAUAUUUCUAAAUAAUCUUGGAACAUCAAGACUUUCAUGAAUAAAAGCAAGUAGUCAGUACCCCUUCUGUCUGCAUUAUCUAACAAAAGGAAAAAAUUCUCUGAGGCAGGGUAGAAAGGUGAGAGCAUCAACAUGAUAAUUGUACCAUUGAAGCAGUUUUCCAUUAUUUGACCAAGUAUCUUUGUAAAAAAAAACAAUCAGAUUUCACAUUGGAGAUAGUGGCUUGGAAAUUGAAACUCUAAAUCCAGACAGGUAACGAUCAGAAUUUUUGAGUAGUUCAAUGUUUCAAUCUUGCUUUGUUAAAAUAGCAGUAAUCUCCAGUAUCCAUGGGGCAUCAUAGCCAGCUCUGCCUGAGAAGUCCUUUGAAGACAGGUUUUGACCGUGUCCCACUGUGGUCUGCAGCGUGUGUCUGAUUUAUGGUUGAAAUCUUUCUCUUUGGGGACUUUGGUCAUGGUUUACUAAGCAUGAGCAGGCUCAUAGUCCAAGGCAAGGCAUUGGCACCUGGAACUGCAGAUAGGUGUCUAAAUCCCAAAUCAAAUGCGAAGGUGCCCUGUGAGUGUAGCACCUGCCAGCACAGCUCCUGUGGUGGUCAGCAAUUGCCACCAUGUAUGGCUCUGCCACAGCGCGCCCUGCGUUUCCCAGCCCUGUUCCCACUGGGACUCACACUCCUGGCUCUUCACUGCAUCUCGCUGCUGGGCCAAGACCCUCAACAUUCCUGGGGUGAGACCCCGUGGCAGUGCCGCUCCCAGCAGUGCUGUGGCACUUGGCGGAGCACCUCCAGCCAGAGGCUGCAUGCUGCACAGCCGCUCACCUUAGCGCUGAGACACGACGGGAGUGAGCAAGAUGUGGGGCUUGCGGCCUUUCAGGCAGAGGCUUAAUUGGAGCCCCGCUUGCCAGUGACGAGCUCUAUCUAACCAGCAGGUCACUGGGUGAAAGAAGGUUGCCUGUAGGCUGAGGCACCCACCUCCAGGAGGCAGUUCAUGUCUGUGGAUGAUGCCUCCAGGGUAAGCAGGAGACGGUGGUGGCAGGUGGGCAGAGAUACAGUGAAAUGUGGAGCAAUUCCUGAGCGCAACUAUCCCAAAAGGAUGGAAAUAUUGCACCUUUCUUGUUGACAUGAGAUUUUUCCAUUUGGUGCUAUGUGGCUCAACAUGCCAAGUUCAAAUUUGGAUCUAAAGCAUUAGACUCGAGUUUCCACAGAAUUCUGGGACUUUGGAAAUGUCCUGCUGUUUUUCAGCACAAACUCAUGAACUUGGAAUAAAAUGUUGGGGAAAAAACAGAACAGAUGAAAAAUAAGUGCUCAUGUAAGAUCUGAAGGCUGAGGCGGUCUCAAAGCAGUGGUCUUUCAUCUGUGUUUGGUUUCCAUCAAAUGCAGGAGCAACUCUGAGCAGGACUUGCCUCAGUUUAGGGAGGCAGAAAAAAAUCAGAAUACAUUGUAAAUAAAAGAAGAACCCUGAAUAAGAACUUUUUCAAAAAGCCAUUUCUUUUCCUAGAUAAGACAUCCAGAUCAAAAGUGAAGGGUGAUUCAGAAGAGCACUCAAGCACAUGGUUACAACAGCUCCCAGGCUCCUUCUGACUGGAAGGCCAGUUUAGUUUCAGCUCAUAGCAGCAUAAAUAUGGGAUGGUGUGGAGUUUGUCAGGCUCAAUUCUCUUCCUUUGGAGGCUAAAGACACACAUGUCCAUGCUCCUGAAUUCAUGCCCAUUCUGGAAAUUUGUUUGCCUGAUCCUUAAAUUUAUGUGUUCCUCUUGGUCUACACAAAGUGCACCAAGCUCUACCAAGCCCAUGGCAGUUAGCUGUGGGCCACAGAUGGAUGCCUCAGCUUACUGGAGAGACAGCGUGGAAGUGUUCUGCCUUCCUGCAAUGCGUGCUGCUUGUUAACAGCUGAUCCCAGAAAGGAGCUGACAUAAGGGCACUGAGGAGCAUGGCUUUAUAGAAAUGCACUCCCUGCAAUUCUGACUGAAAGGGUAUGUGCUGAGUAGUUAAACUACAGCAGCGAGACUGAAAUAUUUGAGAGGUUUCUACUGGAGCCUGCUUUUAACCAUCUGCAGCCCUGUUUGGAAAAGGAGUGUAGUUAGUACAUGCUUUGAGCUCAAAUUUGCACUACUUUGGUCUGGGAGGAAGAAUGGAAGAAAUGUUCUGAGAGCAAAUUCCACGUACGUCUUCUGCCAUCUGCUAAUAGCAUGUGUAAGCAGCUCUGCUGCCAGAAACAGAGGAACAAAGAUAACAUCGUUGUGGAGAAAAUUGCACUGCUCUGAAAAUGAGACUCUUAUUCCAGAUGACUUGAUAGCUCAGCACCCGCUGGGGACGAGUCUGCUCACGGACACUUGCAUACACCCAAGGUAACGUUGCUCAAAGUACCAUGAGCCCUUACAGGGGCAACGUCGUUUCUGCUGAGCCUAAAGAGCAAGUAAGUUUUAUCAUCCAUUCAGUAUGAUGGCCUUGUUGGAAUCCCAGAAAUGAAAUUAUUUAGGGCGGGAGGAAGGGCAAAAGCUGAAGAGAAGCUUUGCCACCAAGGCCACAUGCACGCAACUUGCAGAAAAAAAUAUGGCGAGUCCAGGCAGCAGUGAAACACCGAGGAAACUGUCAGAGUUAACCUUCCCAUGUCUUUUUGCAUCAUGUCAUUUGCGUGAUGCACGUGUCAUUGCCCCCUCUAACACUGCAACAACGGCAACGGGAUCGGAGCCGCCCCAGUCCCAAAGCAUGAGCUGCGUGCCUGUGGCCGGCAGCGUGCCGGGCUGCCUCCCUCCUGCUGCACAGUGGGUAUGCAGGGCAAGGGGUAACCAUGAAAAACGAGAUUUGCAGGUGUGAUCUCUGAGGUCUAACACAGUGUCUCUCUGCACUGUGCGGCUGUCACGGUAGAGUCAACACAGAGAAAUUCUACGCAGUACCAUUCUUCAAACCCCUCUGUUGCGCACUGGUUUGCAAUGGCUGGGUUACAGGUGAGACUGGUUAUCAGGAAGGAAAAUGAUGAAACAAAUUGUGCAAAACAUGCAGGUAACGUGUCAAAAAAGGAAUAAAAAUGACAACAGGAUUUUUGUUUGUUUGAUACAGCCUGUUAGAAAAGACCCCAGUAAAUAGCACUGUCUGUAUUUCUGCUUGCAGUCAGCUGAGCUUCAUCCUCUUCCAGGACUCUGUCUGUGAUAUUUCAGAAAAAAAUGUUAUUAGUAGAUUUCAGAAGUGUUUAAAUUUCAGUGUGGAGCUGGUGCAAGGACUGUCUGGUUGGUCUGACAAUCCUCUCAAAGGCAGAACAAUGAGGAAAAAGAUCUGCGUUUUCCUUAGCAGACUGUAGUGUAUAUUUAAAUAUUACUGCUGGAGCAGGAGGGGACAUGAAAUACAAGGUGGGUUUCUGCAUGGCUCACGCUAUUUUUGUGGCCCCCUUUUCUGCUUGGAAAACUUCCUUGGUUUUUCAGUGGCAUCUGUAGCGCUGGAAACUGGCACCAAGUUUCCUGCUUGAUGUUACAUUAUGAAAUAUUUAAUAGCAUUUUUAAGAGGGAAUGGGAGCUGUUUAUAAACAGCUUUUGCAUCUUUCACGUUUCUUAUUUCCCUGUUAGUGUUAGAGUAAUUGUAUUUGUGGCAGUGCUAGAAGAAUGCAGGAAUGGCACUACCUGGAGUCAUGUGGUUGCCGCAGAUCUCCACUGUGUGAUCCACCACGCCAGCCCUGGCUCUGUGCGCCCUGGACUCCCAAAUCUCUGGGUGAGUCAGGCAGCCAUGAUGUAUGUGCAGGGUAUGCAAAGUUUCUACCAAAGAUGUGUAAGCUCCUGGUUCUUGCAUCACUCCUAAAAUUCUAGUAUAAUAAAGUAA